AGGGAUAUAGUUCAGCAGCACAGCUCUUGCCUGACAAGUAUGAGGCCCUGGGUUCAACUCCCAGUACUA
This 69-nucleotide transfer RNA is filed under the name Cavia porcellus (domestic guinea pig). It matches the Rfam family "tRNA". From Rfam's summary of the family: Transfer RNA (tRNA) molecules are approximately 80 nucleotides in length. Their secondary structure includes four short double-helical elements and three loops (D, anti-codon, and T loops). The record is from Rfam by way of RNAcentral. Lineage: Eukaryota; Metazoa; Chordata; Mammalia; Rodentia; Caviidae.